This 254-nucleotide small nuclear RNA is filed under the name Mesocricetus auratus (golden hamster). RNAcentral describes it as "7SK RNA". The stretch from base 1 to 217 matches the Rfam family "7SK RNA". Rfam says of the family: 7SK was discovered as an abundant small nuclear RNA in the mid-70s but a possible function has only recently been suggested. Two independent studies have found that 7SK RNA binds the CDK9/cyclin T complex (known as elongation factor P-TEFb). P-TEFb activates transcription by phosphorylating the C-terminal domain of RNA polymerase II. The record is from Rfam by way of RNAcentral. Lineage: Eukaryota; Metazoa; Chordata; Mammalia; Rodentia; Cricetidae.
AGCUGUUUCUGUGCAUUAAACAAGCCAUGUACUUCCCUCCCGACGCUGUGCGCUAAGUCAAAGAGGACGACCUUCCCUGAAUAGAGGAGGAUCGGUCUUCUGUCCAGGGCAUAUGAGUAGCUGCGCUCCCCUGCUAGAACCUCCAAACAAACUCUCAAGGUCCAUAGUUUGGAUUUUGAAUGCCUCUCAAUGGCCCACAGAUUAAAAACUUAGUUUUCAAGGUGAUGCCAUGUGGUGAUGUUGAAGCCUUUGAA